This 468-nucleotide ribosomal RNA is filed under the name uncultured bacterium. RNAcentral describes it as "partial 16S ribosomal RNA". The stretch from base 20 to 332 matches the Rfam family "Bacterial small subunit ribosomal RNA", at positions 47 to 358 of the family's 1533-position model. The record is from RNAcentral.
GACGAACGCUGGCGGCGUGCUUAACACAUGCAAGUCGAACGGAAAGGCCCUGCUUUUGUGGGGUGCUCGAGUGGCGAACGGGUGAGUAACACGUGAGUAACCUGCCCUUGACUUUGGGAUAACUUCAGGAAACUGGGGCUAAUACCGGAUAGGAGCUCCUGCUGCAUGGUGGGGGUUGGAAAGUUUCGGCGGUUGGGGAUGGACUCGCGGCUUAUCAGCUUGUUGGUGGGGUAGUGGCUUACCAAGGCUUUGACGGGUAGCCGGCCUGAGAGGGUGACCGGGGGCAUGGGGACUAAGAGAGGGAGCAGACGGCAGCAUGAGGCAGCAGGGGGGAGUAUGGCACAGCGGUCGGGGGGGGGAUGACGUGGCGUGGGGGGGGGGAAGAGGGUUUGCUGGUAGAGAAAAGCUGAAGGCUGAGGCACAGCGGGAGUGACGGUAAUGGAAAAAGAAGCACCGGCUAACUACGUG